Molecule: microRNA, 23 nt
Filed under: Gyrodactylus salaris (gyrodactylosis fluke)
Lineage: Eukaryota; Metazoa; Platyhelminthes; Monogenea; Gyrodactylidea; Gyrodactylidae
Source: RNAcentral
UGACUAGAAUGAGCACUCACGCC